GGCAAAGGGGCCCAGAUCAGCGCCCCAGGACCAAGCCACUAGCCUGCGUCCCCUUCUCCCCCCACCCCCGCCCCACCUGUUCCUCUCCCUAAGCUGUCAACCCUGGGCAGGGUCGGGGUGCCCAGAAGCGGAGAAAAGAAUCCGAAAUGUAGGGAAACUGGGGCGCGAGGAAGCGGGGCUCAGCCAAGUGGUGCGCGGACAGUUGGGUGCGUGCAUUGCAGAGACGUCUCUGGAGCUCCUGAGCGAGUCCUCCAAGCGCACCCAGCUGGGCGGGGGGCGCCUCCGGAACCCUCCCUUCGCGCCCUGGCGCGGGAGGCCGCGCUGCGUGGCCGCGCGGGGACCUGGUUCGGAAACUUCCCCGGAGCUGGAAGAAAGAGGUGAUGACCUUGCCCCGCCCGCCAGAGAGAGGCACCGCGAGAGGCACCUCCCACGGGGCCACCUGCCGUUUAUCGCACCGCGCGCGAGAGUGUGCACGCGGGACCCCGGGCUCAGGUGUCCCCCGAGGCAGAACGCUGGUCUCCAGGCCGCGCUGGCGAUCACGUCGCUGCGGGAGGGAGCGGCUGCGGCGAGCGGGGGGCUGAACCGAGACCUCCGCAGGCCCCGGCCGCUAAAGGGGAAGGGGCAGCUCACGUGCCCCGUCGGUGACUGAGCAGAGGCCUGGCCGUCCCGGUCCUCUGGGUGCCCGAGCCGACUGGGUGCCCGUCUGCGCGCUGCAGGGCCCUGCACAGUGAGCGGCUUUUACGAAUUCCUCCUUAGUGCCCAGGCAAUGCAGGGAGCCAUCUCUGAAGAGUGACACGUUUCUUCGGAGGAUUCUGUUCUGGUCACAGCAAUCGAGUCCUUUCUUGAGGCUACUUAGAGAAUGGGGUUCAAACAUCAGUUUACCCAUCCGACUGCCAGUUUUGACAGAGGUGCUACUCUUCUCUUUGGUGAUCUAGUUUGGGAUAAAAACAACAACAAAAACCCAGCAAGGAAAGUAUGUUGAACUGUGUGCUUCUGCUGUGAUGGGUAACAGAAACACAGGAGGGGCUAGGGACACGGCCUUCGUGAAAGAACACUGCAAAAAGAACAAACUGGUCCCCUCUGCACCUGAGGGCUUCUGAGAAGCUGGCUGGGGGGAGCAAAGACUAUGACUUCUGUCUACUACAAAGAGAAAAAAAUAAACUAGGAAAUGGCCCAAAUGUAUUUUAUUUUUUGGAUGCCAGUUGUGUGCCAAGCCCUGUACUGGGUGCUGAGCUGACAUAUAUCAACUAGAUACGUUACUUUUACAUUUAAAAGGAGACACAGCCACGCACACGAGGUCAAUAAGCCAUGGAACAAGGAGUUGAAAGUCAUAGUAAGGGCUAAAAGAAAGGGCUAUUGGAAUAUA
Long non-coding RNA from Canis lupus familiaris (dog), 1366 nucleotides. RefSeq lists it as uncharacterized. NCBI's taxonomy places the organism in Eukaryota, Metazoa, Chordata, Mammalia, Carnivora, Canidae. The transcript is spliced from 3 exons. The record is from RefSeq and is a predicted model, not a curated record.